Molecule: long non-coding RNA, 2553 nt
Organism: Sinocyclocheilus anshuiensis
Lineage: Eukaryota; Metazoa; Chordata; Actinopteri; Cypriniformes; Cyprinidae
Source: Ensembl
GUAACAAAAACUGCAGGAUUAACAGAUAUAUAAGCUCAUAAACGUAACUCAUGAGGAGCAAUUUGAUCUUUGUGGCUAUCCUGGGGAUAGCAUGCAUGAUGAUUGGAGUCAAUGGGAACAAUACAACGAGCAGUAGCAACUCCAUAGGCAGCUGGAUAUCUUCUAACAUGACCACCAACCUGACCCAGACACUCCCUCCCAACAUAACCACCAACCUGAACCAAACAAGCCUUGCCAACAUAACCAACAUCCUGCCCCAAACACAGCCUCCCAACAUAACCACCAACUCGCCCCAAACACAGCCUCCCAACAUAACCACCAACCUGAACCAAACAAGCCUUGCCAACAUAACCAACAUCCUGCCCCAAACACAGCCUCCCAACAUAACCACCAACCUGACCCAAACACAGCCUCCCAACAUAACCACCAACUCGACCCAAACACAGCCUCCCAACAUAACCACCAACUCGACCCAAACACAGCCUCCCAACAUAACCACCAACUCGACCCAAACACAGCCUCCCAACAUAACCACCAACCUGAACCAAACAAGCCCUGCCAACAUCACCGCAAACCCGACCCAGUCAGGCCCCCUCACUGUAACAAACAUUAUAAAAACGUCAAGUUCUAAUACUCAAUCAAUAGAAAUCACUGGCAGGGAUAACUGCAAGAGGGAUAGAGCAUGUUUCUCUGCUCCACCUUCCUGUAAUCCAAGUGCACAAGGUUCCUGCUAUUUCCUCUCUACAAGAGGAGUAGGUGGAAAUGCAGAUAAUUUUACUUUUGAGAUCAGUGGUGAGACAGAUGGUUACAUCGGAGCAGGCCUCUCUCGAGACAAGCGUGGUCAAGGAGCCACUGUCUAUUCUUGUGCCAAAGUCAAUAGUGAACUGAGGUUUUUCCGUUCCACACUGAACAAUCAAAUACUGACUCAGGAUAACACAUUCAUCCCUGGAAGUUUCCGUGGUUCGAUGAAUGGAAGAAAGAUUCAGUGCAUUUUCACUGCUGCAGGUCUCAGCAACAAUGCCCGUGCUGCAGCCACAGACAAUUUUGUCUUAUUUUUAACAGGAAGCGUCUCAAAUGGUUCUCUGGAUUCUCCAGUCACUAGACUGGCCACAAAUGGGUCAGUGGACUUAAGCAACCCUAACAGCACAGAUGUUACAGUAAUAACACCCAGUAUAGAUGCCACCACUACAGCCCCAAACAGCACUGCAUCUACUGCCACUGCAGCAUUAAACACCACUGCAUCUACUGCGUCUGGAGUAUCUACAGCUAAUAAUGGUACAGCAAAUGACAAGGUCACCAAAGACAACUGUAAGAAGGACAGGGCAUGUUUCUCCACUCCAGCCAACUGUGAUCCAUCCAGCUCAAGUAGCUGCUUUUUUGCCUCCACAAGAGGGGUGAACGGAGACUCCGACAAUCUCACUUUUGAGCUCAGCGGGGAUGCAAAUGGUUACAUUGCAGUUGGCCUGUCUCGAGACAAGAAGGAGGGUGAUAAUGACACCGUCUAUUCUUGUGCCAACAACAAUGGUGUGGCGAAGUUCAUCCGUGCAACACUGAAUAAUACCAUUCUGACUCCGGAUAAUACCUUUAACCCCAGAUCCUUCCGUGGCUCUGUGAGCGGCACUAGGAUUCAGUGCAUUUUUGUAGCUGCGGGCCUCAGCAGAAUCAUCCGUGCAGCAAACACAGAUACUUUCCUCUAUUUCUUCACUGGCAACUAUGCAAACGGCACUCUGGGGUCGCCAGUCACACGAAUGUCUACAAAUUCAUCGGUUGAUCUAACGAGCACUAACAGCUCAGAUGUUGUCAUAAUAACACCCACUACAAAUACUACCACUACUACGGUUUCUACUACAGCAAAACCUGCUACUACAGCAGGGAGCAAUGCACUGCAUCAUGCUGCAUCUCAGGCUGCUCUGGUAAUUCUCUCAGGGAUCCUUGCAGUCCUCCUGUUGUAAGGAUGCUGCCAACACGUCAUUUGCUUUCUGAAAUUGGUCGAUGAGCACUGAACGCUUGAUGAACCCAACACUAAAGUAUAUGUAAUUCAGCAUAUUUAUAACUGUGCAAUGUUGUGACUCUGGGAACAAUGAGGAAAGGAGCUGCAAAUAUGGGGAAGAGGGCAAUACAUCAUUUAUUUUAUCUGUGUGUAUGUGUGAGAGAGGUUGUGUUUGAGUGUGUUUUGUGAGCAUUAGUGUUUGCAUUCUACUAAUGUACUGCUACUUAAAAUCAGGCUCCUGCACAGAGAGGGCUGAUACAAAUUAGUGUAAUUGGUCUAUUGAUUUAAUUGUGCAAGUGUGAUGCCACGUGGCUGAAAUGAUCAAAGAUAAUUAUUUUUAGAUGUCUUAAUUUAUUUUGCAACUGUUGCCUCAAACCUGUAGUUGCCUGUAACUUUUAAAUAAAGUCACAUGUAUAUUUUUUUUGAAGAAAAAGAUGUAUAAUAAAAUGUUUAUGUAAACAAUGAAACUGCUAGAUCUCUCUCUCUCUGUGUGUGUGUGUGUGUGUGUGUGCUUUCACCAGUGCAUGGAAUAAGGGUUUAAGGCACAGCAAAGAACAUAGCUA